UGAGAGGGUGAGCGUUAAUCGGAUUACUGGGCGUAAAGCGAGCGUAGGUGGCUUGAUAAGUCAGAUGUGAAAUCCCCGGGCUUAACCUGGGAACUGCAUCUGAAACUGUUAGGCUAGAGUAGGUGAGAGGGAAGUAGAAUUCCAGGUGUAGCGGUGAAAUGCGUAGAGAUCUGGAGGAAUACCGAUGGCGAAGGCAGCUUUCUGGCAUCAUACUGACACUGAGGCUCGAAAGCGUGGGUAGCAAACAGGAUUAGAUACCCUGGUAGUCCACGCCGUAAACGAUGUCUACUAGUCGUUGGGUCCCUUGAGGACUUAGUGACGCAGCUAACGCAAUAAGUAGACCGCCUGGGGAGUACGGCCGCAAGGUUAA
Molecule: ribosomal RNA, 370 nt
Filed under: uncultured Psychrobacter sp.
Lineage: Bacteria; Pseudomonadati; Pseudomonadota; Gammaproteobacteria; Moraxellales; Moraxellaceae
Description: bacterial SSU rRNA
Rfam family: Bacterial small subunit ribosomal RNA
Source: RNAcentral